UACGUAGGGACCAAGCGUUGUUCGGAUUUACUGGGCGUAAAGGGCGCGUAGGCGGCAUAUUAAGUCAGCCGUGAAAUCUCCGAGCUUAACUCGGAACUGUCAGCUGAUACUGAUGUGCUAGAGUGCAGAAGGGGCAAUCGGAAUUCUUGGUGUAGCGGUGAAAUGCGUAGAUAUCAAGAGGAACACCUGAGGUGAAGACGGGUUGCUGGGCUGACACUGACGCUGAUAGCGCGAAAGCCAGGGGAGCAAACGGG
This 254-nucleotide ribosomal RNA is filed under the name uncultured bacterium. Its description in RNAcentral is "partial 16S ribosomal RNA". It matches the Rfam family "Bacterial small subunit ribosomal RNA", at positions 524 to 776 of the family's 1533-position model. The record is from RNAcentral.